Molecule: Y RNA, 97 nt
Filed under: Canis lupus familiaris (dog)
Lineage: Eukaryota; Metazoa; Chordata; Mammalia; Carnivora; Canidae
Also listed under: 1 other name
Description: Y RNA (ENSCAFG00000021596.2, ENSCAFG00030012169.1, ENSCAFG00040010171.1, ENSCAFG00805024520.1)
Rfam family: Y RNA
About the family: Y RNAs are components of the Ro ribonucleoprotein particle (Ro RNP), in association with Ro60 and La proteins. The Y RNAs and Ro60 and La proteins are well conserved, but the function of the Ro RNP is not known.
Source: RNAcentral
GGCUGGUUUGACUCAGUGGUACAAUUAAUUGAACACAGCCAAUUACAGAUUUCUGUGUUCUUUCUCCACUUCCACUGCUUCACUUGACUAGCCUUAA